RNAcentral lists this unclassified non-coding RNA (27 nucleotides) under Mus musculus (house mouse). Its description in RNAcentral is "oocyte_clustered_small_RNA13623". The record is from RNAcentral. Lineage: Eukaryota; Metazoa; Chordata; Mammalia; Rodentia; Muridae.
UCACAAAGCCAGCACUCAAGUCAAGGA